This 67-nucleotide transfer RNA is filed under the name Marmota monax (woodchuck). RNAcentral's name for it is "tRNA.Ala". It matches the Rfam family "tRNA", at positions 6 to 65 of the family's 71-position model. From Rfam's summary of the family: Transfer RNA (tRNA) molecules are approximately 80 nucleotides in length. Their secondary structure includes four short double-helical elements and three loops (D, anti-codon, and T loops). The record is from RNAcentral. Lineage: Eukaryota; Metazoa; Chordata; Mammalia; Rodentia; Sciuridae.
GGCUGUAGCUCAGUGGUAAAGCGCUUGCCUUGCAUGUGUGAGGCACUGGGUUCAAUCCUCAGCACCA